CAGCAGCCGCGGUAAUACGAAGGGUGCAAGCGUUACUCGGAGUUACUGGGCGUAAAGCGUGCGUAGGUGGUGGUUUAAGUCCGUUGUGAAAGCCCUGGGCUCAACCUGGGAAUUGCAGUGGAUACUGGGUCACUAGAGUGUGGUAGAGGAUAGUGGAAUUUCCGGUGUAGCAGUGAAAUGCGUAGAGAUCGGGAGGAACAUCAGUGGCGAAGGCGGCCAUCUGGGACAACACUGACGCUGAGGCACGAAAGCGUGGGGAGCAAACAGGAUUAGAUACCCCAGUAUCCCUAUCUCUUAUACA
This 301-nucleotide ribosomal RNA is filed under the name uncultured bacterium. RNAcentral describes it as "partial 16S ribosomal RNA". It matches the Rfam family "Bacterial small subunit ribosomal RNA", at positions 509 to 809 of the family's 1533-position model. The record is from RNAcentral.